This 563-nucleotide unclassified non-coding RNA is filed under the name Leishmania donovani. RNAcentral describes it as "gene:LdHU3.26.1260(CDS-product:hypothetical_prote in_conserved)". The record is from RNAcentral. Lineage: Eukaryota; Euglenozoa; Kinetoplastea; Trypanosomatida; Trypanosomatidae.
UCUUUCAGAGCGUCUACUCCCUGCCUCCACGCACCGACAGCAAUCCAAAAAGCAGCAUGAGCUCCACUUUCACUGCACUGGAUGACCUGGAGCGCGAAAUGAACAGGUAUUUAAAUGACACACAGGCCACUGGCUGUGGAGACAUAGGGCCAGUGCUUUUUCAUUCUGCCAGAGUACAAAUGGAGAUUCAGGAUCUGAGUCAGCGCGUUCAGCAAAAGAGUAUUGCCCUGGAAGACAGGGCACGAAGCUCGUGACAGGACGCAAUGUGUCCUUUUCAAUAGCUCAUGGUCUGCCUGCAACAAACACGAUAAGAAGACUUGUGCUCGCACAACUAGCAACCCAGAUAAAGAAGAGAACGACAACUCCGUAUCGCGAUGGCAAGGCUUUUCUGGUGGUCACUUUCAUCUUUGAGGUGAGCGCAGUGGCUGAAGGGGCGAGGUAUAUGAUGUUCCUGCGGUGUACAUGAUCUAGGCAACUCUGCUACUCACUUGACUGACCGCUUUCUCAUUCUAACUGCCUUCUAUGCUUCACUAUUACUCACCGUGAUUUGCAUUCUCUAUAAG